RNAcentral lists this long non-coding RNA (2505 nucleotides) under Cinara cedri. The stretch from base 1979 to 2049 matches the Rfam family "mir-10 microRNA precursor family". Lineage: Eukaryota; Metazoa; Arthropoda; Insecta; Hemiptera; Aphididae. The record is from RNAcentral.
CUCUCGACGGACAACACGUCUGUUCACUCCGGUCUACGGCGGCCGGCGCGGCGGUCGUCCGUGGUGGCCAGCCAGAGCGUCUCACCGUCACCGUCGAUGCGUCAGUGUUGAUUCACACCCCGUGCUGGCUACUUCAGUGCUGCUGUAGCUGCCACCGCUGCCACUACUUGUACAACUUUGCUGCUGCUACAACUGUAGUGCUUCAUUCAAUAGUUACUUCUAGUGUACUAGCCUAGUAACCGGGUAAGCAUGAACAAUUUACUAAUUUUUUUUUAUUUUUCGUCGUUUAUUUUAAACAUAUUUUAUUUAAAUAUAUUAUUAAGUUUGAAUUAUAAUACCAGUUAUUAUUUUUAUCAUCAUAUAUUAUCUACCACUAGAUAAUAUAAAUUCUACUGAGAAAUUUACAAGCAUUUAAAAUUUAUGCGAUAGUUAAAUGUUCAUACGUUAAGAAUGAAAAAAAAAUGUUAAACGAUUUCGUAUAGGAAAUAUACCAUAUUAUAUGCGUAUUUUUUUUUUUUACAUACAUUCGGCCAAUUCGAAAAUGAAUUUAUUCCAGAAAUUUAACGUUACAAUAUUGUCAAACAUUUAUUGUAUUCUACAUUGACUGUAUGCUGUACCCGCCAUUAUCAAAAUCGUCUAAAUAAUUAUUUACUCCCGAAUUCGCCUUAUGAAUAUAUACCCACGUAAUAGUUAUUUAAGAGAUUAUAGGUGUUGCGAGCGAGUUUCAUGCAUCAGCUUAUAAUAAUAUAUUCGUUUAAGCCGGGGGUCGGGAACGUGUGGGUAAACGGUUGACGGUUCAAUUUGUUUUUUUUUUUUUCUGUUUUUCUAACGGAAACCGGCCGGCGACGACGGUUAAAAUGUACGUUAGGAUCGCGUGCGGCGGCGGCGGCGUCCGCCGCGGACUAAGCGCGUCGGGGGCACGCCGGAGAGGGGCCGCGCGGACGGUCAGCGGGGCGCGACGCGACUUUUAUGGGACGGCGGGGGGAAGGCGCGGGGGAAACAGCCGCCCGGCGCGGAAUAAUUUGCAUUCGGCGGGGCUCGUGCCCGUCGCCGCCGCCGACGCCUCGCGAUUUCCCACCCCGCCCGAGUAUUGAUCGCGUGAGUCACCCUCCGUGCACGGCGGCGGCGGGGCGUGCGGUACCGUCCUCGCGGAGGGGUGUGUCGGGGCGGUGGCCGCGCACACGCAUAUUAUAUAUUUAUCUGUACACCCGCGCGCGUGUCGUACUUGCGCGUACUGUUUUUUUUUUUUUUAUUUUUUUUUUCAAACGAUUUAUCGGCGAGAGGAAAACGCGUUUGUGCGUGCGGACACGGAACGGGUAUUAUACUUGUGCGCGCCGCAGGAGUAACGGAAUAAAUAAUACGACGGGAGAAAUAAUAACGGGGGGGGAGAGGGGGAAAAAAUAAUAAUAAUAACAAUAAAAAAAAAUUCGCGGACCCUUCCGAUACGCGCCGACCCUUUAAUAUUGUGCGCGUUCGCCACGCCAAGGGAGCGAGAGUUCGUUGACACGGCGGCGGCGACGGGUUUAACAUUAUAAUAAUAUACGAAAAAGGGAGGAAAAAAGUACAAAUAAAAAUAAACAGGAGGGGGACGACAAUGACUGACGCGCGCGUAAACCGAUAAUCGCUGUACGGAUCACGGCGAUCAUUACGUUAUUAUAACAAAUAAUAAUAUGUACCGGGCGAUAUUUUUUCGAUAGGCCUUCGCGAUUCGUUUUCGGAACGGCGACUUUGUUUUUCGUAAACUAAAUUUUUUUUUUUUUUAUUCCGGUUCUUCCGGACUGUUUCAGAGACUGUUUCGGGAACGCCCGUAUGACGCCCUCGUUGACGAUGUCCGAACGCCUGCAGUAACAACGCGCGUGUUCAGCCUGCCGGAACGCCGAAGAGGAGACGGCGGCGUCGGUCCGCGCCGCUAUAUACCUACACUAUCGCCGAUGAUUGUCACUGCACGGGGGCGAUUAGUCUUCGUUGUAGUGAUGCUCUACAUCUACCCUGUAGAUCCGAAUUUGUUUGAAAAACGGCGACAAAUUCGGUUCUAGAGAGGUUUGUGUGGUGCAUAUUCCUUACGACCAGAAUUUGAAUUUGCCCCCCCCCCCCCAUCGGUUUUAUUUUUGUUCAAUUUUUCUAUCGCAUUGCAUUAUAUUAUAUACUUAUACCGAAUUGGAAUAGUCAAAUUCACGCGUUCAUGUACCGCACGACCGUACCUGCAGCUGAACAUAAAAUUAUAUGUACAUUUAUUACUAUUGUUGUUAUUAUUAUUGUUACUAUUAUUGUUAUAUUAUGAAAUAAAAAUUAUACACGUAUAAUAUUAUGUAAUAUGUAUUUUGUUUUGCGGUAACAAAAAAAAAAAAAAACCAUUUUUUAACCAUUGUACAAUUAUUAUUGAUUAACUAUAGGUAUACAAUAACCCGACUUGUGUGUUUUAUGUUUUUUUCUUCGGAUAUUCCCGCCUAGCAUAAAUAAUUAUUACUGUAUACAUUACACCUAUAAUAAAAACGUUAAUACCAU